Molecule: ribosomal RNA, 309 nt
Filed under: uncultured bacterium
Lineage: Bacteria
Description: bacterial SSU rRNA
Rfam family: Bacterial small subunit ribosomal RNA
Source: RNAcentral
GAUGAACGCUAGCGGGAGGCCUAACACGUGCAAGCCGAGCGGUAGAGAUUCUUCGGGAUCUUGAGAGCGGCGUACGGGUGCGGAACACGUGUGCAAUCUACCUUUAUCUGGAGGAUAGCCUUUCGAAAGGAAGAUUAAUACUCCAUAAUAUAUUGAUUGGCAUCGAUUGAUAUUGAAAGCUCCGGCGGAUAGAGAUGGGCACGCGCAAGAUUAGCUAGUUGGUGAGGUAACGGCUCACCAAAGGCGAUGAUCUUUAGGGGGCCUGAGAGGGGUGACUCCCCACACUGGUACUGAGACACGGACCAGACU